CCUACGGGAGGCAGCAGUUAGGAAUAUUGGACAAUGGGCGAAAGCCUGAUCCAGCCAUGCCGCGUGUGUGAUGAAGGCCCUAGGGUUGUAAAGCACUUUCGUUGGGGAUGAUAAUGACCGUACCCAAAGAAGAAGCACCGGCUAACUUCGUGCCAGCAGCCGCGGUAAUACGAAGGGUGCAAGCGUUGUUCGGAAUCACUGGGCGUAAAGAAUGCGUAGGCGGCUUAACAAGUCGGGAGUGAAAUCCCAGGGCUCAACCCUGGAACUGCUCUCGAAACUGUUUUGCUAGAGUCCCGGAGGGGUUUAGCGGAAUUCCGAGUGUAGAGGUGAAAUUCGCAGAUAUUCGGAGGAACACCAGUGGCGAAGGCGGCUAACUGGACGGGAACUGACGCUGAGGCAUGAAAGUGUGGGGAUCAAACAGGAUUAGAUACCCUGGUAGUCCACACCGUAAACGAUGUGUGCUAGUUGUCGGGUCAGCUUUGCUGUUCGGUGACGGAGCUAACGUUUUAAGCACACCGCCUGGGAAGUACGGCCGCAAGGUUAAAACCNCAAUGAAUUGACGG
RNAcentral lists this ribosomal RNA (563 nucleotides) under uncultured bacterium. RNAcentral's name for it is "bacterial SSU rRNA". It matches the Rfam family "Bacterial small subunit ribosomal RNA", at positions 338 to 916 of the family's 1533-position model. The record is from RNAcentral.